Non-coding RNA from Musa acuminata subsp. malaccensis (wild Malaysian banana), 921 nucleotides. Lineage: Eukaryota; Viridiplantae; Streptophyta; Magnoliopsida; Zingiberales; Musaceae. The record is from RefSeq and is a predicted model, not a curated record.
UGGUGGUGGUGGUGGUGGUGGUGGCAGUCAAAGUUGAGAACAUGGCCAAUUUGGACAGUGGUCCAUCUGAUUCAUCUCUAUCCUGUGAUGAAGAUGAUGGCGCAUGAUGAUGUAUGUGCAGGAGAAGCUGCAGGAAGCAUGUGAUAUGAACUAACAGAAGAAGACAAUCUAUCCAUCCACCCUCAUGAAGCAGAAACGGAAAGAAGCAAUGAACAAAUCCAAGACAAGUCGAUGCUGAUGAUCAAACGAUCUCAAUGUGUAUAUGGAAGAUGCCACUGGCUUUGGUCAAUCAAAAUUCAAAAGUCCAGUGGAGCAUUCAGAGCCCUCGAUGGACAACUACUGCAAUAAUGCAUAGGAGAUCACAAAAACAAGUUGAAACACUUGUCACCUCCAAGAAAUCUCGGACAAGUGGAUGCUGGUGACCAAUCCAGUUUGUGCAUCUCGGUGGCCAAAGCAUAUUUGCUGAUGACAGUUCAUGAUCUUAAUCCGGGCAUUGAGGAUGAAGAUUCAACUGGCUUUGGUCAAGGAAAUCGACCCUGAAACCUUGAGCCAGCAGUGUCUUGUCUUGGCUGGAUGUUGGAGGUGGACUAAUCUACUUCAAGGCAUGCAAUUGUCAGCUAGUGCGGCAUGAUCCAAUGGAGCAUUUAAAACCAUUGAUGGACAUCAACUGCAAUGCGCAGAGGUCUUCGGAUUCUGGUGCUGAAGCAGUAGAACCCAAUGCUUCACGCUUUUCCUCAAUCAAUCAAUCUUACUUUGCAUGAAGAGAAACAACAAGUACCUGAAGUUGCUCAGAAAGUUGAACCAGGACUAAGCGUGCAGGAGUUUUGUCACUCAUGAUUUAAACCUGUCUCGAUCAAUCUAAUAGAAAUUUCUUCAGCGAUGACAAUGGAUUGAGAUUUUAGAUGAGGAAGCAAAUUGAAG